RNAcentral lists this ribosomal RNA (466 nucleotides) under uncultured bacterium. RNAcentral describes it as "partial 16S ribosomal RNA". It matches the Rfam family "Bacterial small subunit ribosomal RNA", at positions 339 to 795 of the family's 1533-position model. The record is from RNAcentral.
CUACGGGGGGCUGCAGUGGGGAAUAUUGGACAAUGGGGGAAACCCUGAUCCAGCAAUGCCGCGUGUGUGAAGAAGGCCUGCGGGUUGUAAAGCACUUUCGGUUGGGAGGACUGCUUCUAGCACUAAUAUUGUUGGAAGUUGACGUUACCUUCAGAAGAAGCACCGGCUACCUGCCGUGCCAGCAGCCGCGGUAAUACGGGGGGUGCAAGCGUUAAUCGGAAUUACUGGGCGUAAAGCGCGCGUAGGCGGCUAGAUCAGUCGGGUGUGAAAGCCCCGGGCUUAACCUGGGAACUGCAUCCGAUACUGUCUAGCUUGAGUACAGGAGAGGAGAGUGGAAUUCCACAUGUAGCGGUGAAAUGCGUAGAUAUGUGGAGGAACACCAAUGGCGAAGGCAGCUCUCUGGCCUGAUACUGACGCUGAGGUGCGAAAGCGUGGGGAGCAAACAGGAUUAGAUACCCCCGUAGUC